This 165-nucleotide ribosomal RNA is filed under the name Leucobryum scabrum. Its description in RNAcentral is "partial 26S rRNA". It matches the Rfam family "Eukaryotic large subunit ribosomal RNA", at positions 1 to 165 of the family's 3401-position model. The record is from RNAcentral. Lineage: Eukaryota; Viridiplantae; Streptophyta; Bryopsida; Dicranales; Leucobryaceae.
AGACCUCUGAUCAGAAAAGACUACCCGCUGAGUUUAAGCAUAUCACUAAGCGGAGGAGAAGAAACUAACCAGGAUUUCCCUAGUAACGGCGAGCGAACCGGAAAGAGCCCAGCUUGAAAAUCGCGGCGCUGCGCGCCGCGAGUUGUAGUCUGGAGAAGCGUCCUG